Molecule: RNA transcript, 958 nt
Organism: Carya illinoinensis
Lineage: Eukaryota; Viridiplantae; Streptophyta; Magnoliopsida; Fagales; Juglandaceae
Exons: 2
Source: RefSeq, a predicted model, not a curated record
UAAAUAAAAAAAUCCAUGGAGUACACUGUACAGUCUGAUCAAGGACUUAUCCAAAGUACACCUCAGAGCCAAUGUCACCCAACUGAACAGGUGGCAGUGGCAUCAUUUACACGACUUGUUUCUUGCAAGCGGAGCAAGCGACCCAACACCCUCACCUUCAGCAAAGCAGCACCGAGAGCAAGACUCAAGUUUCGAGUUUCGACCGUUCGAGGUAGCAGCCCACCACGGAAAAACAGAGCAUUCACUAUGAGUGAUCAACACCAGGACCCCAAGCCGCCCCAAAACUUGCCCUCUUCUUCCUCUUCUUCAAAUAAAAUUCCCGGCAACGGCACCGACUUCUCGGGUCACAAGGCCCGAUACCCGAACCCCCCGGACGCUUCGAAUCCGGACCCCGCAACGCUCCGAGAGCAAUGGAGGUUCGCUAUCAAACAGUACAGCAGGUGGUACUCCAGCGCCUGGGGCACCGCCAUUCUCGCUGGCAUCUCUUUCUUCGCCCUCGGUUGGAUCAUCAAGGGUUCCAAUCCCCUCCCUUCUUUCCGCGAUAAGCACCCCGAGCCUUCCUCCUCUUCCGCUUCUUCAUCUACCGAUGAUGCAAGUGAAGCUCGCCCAUGAAGUCGGUGGGUUGUUCUGUUAUCUAUGUCCCUGGGCGUGUAUAUAGGUUUUUUUGGGAACUUUUGCUGUGUUUCUUUUGACAGGUGCCUCAGCAAUAAGGAAGAUAGCCACUCAAUCCAUCGGUCUCAGAACUGAACCUUCAACUGAUUUUGGUGUUCAUUGUCUUGAAAGUAUCAUAACUUUUUUGUUUUAGAUGCCAAAGGUACAAUAUGAUGGUUCCGUCCAAAUUAUGGGAUAUGUUUGCGUGUGAUUCACCAUAGAUGUCGUGGAUAGUCUAAGGCAUGGUGUGCCAUGCAAGGUUCAUUGUAUAUUUGCAGCUCAAGGUUUUUUAAAGUUGUUUGGUAAA